GAUUGCACAGAUGAAGUGGUGUCACAGUGGCUAUCUGAUGUGAAGGAAUGGGCAGCUGGUGGUAAGCAUGACCAGAUAAAAGAAACAACAAACAUCCCUUUCUACCAUCUACAUUUUAUGUUUGAUAUUAAAGAGCAGCUAAAGAUAGUAGGCGGAUCAUCAUCUAAUGUGAUGCCACAUUUAUGUCAGGUUUAUUAGAAUAUUCCAGUUCCUUGCAGGAAGUGCACAUACCAAGUAUAAAUAAGUUUGAUUAAAAGGUUUUACAUAAAAUUCAAACUUGCUUUCACUAUUUCUUAUACAGAGACACCUGAUACAUCUAGUGCCAGUCAAGGCACAACACACAGAGGAAUUCAGCAAUCAAUUAAGGGGCUCUACCUUAGUGUGAGGCACCGGAAGCGAACCCUCUACCGUCAGAAUGACAGCAGCAAGUUUCGCCAUCGCCUUCGAAGAAAGCUGGCAGAAGACAAAAAACUCCUUCUUCAGGAGAUACAGAAAUACAAUGAUCUUGUACUAGAAUCGGCAACAACCAUUGACGUAGCUGUGGUGGAGCAUUCCCUAACUGGAGAGAGUACUGUGUCUCAAAUAUGGCCGUGGGAAGUUCAUGGCAGUGGUAUGUCUGUUUUUAGAUGCUUCACAGGAAUUUAUUUUCAGUUCUGCUUUAUAGAGUAUACUGAACUAAGGCAUGCAUGUUACAUAUUGAGUGUUGUAAUAUUAAUUUAGUUUAUUGGUGUAUUUUCAGUUUUCUUAUGUAUCAAUUUGAUAAAAAAGUAAAUGUUUGUAGUGAUUAUGCAAGAUUGUCUCAUGUUUACAUAUAACUGUUAUUGAUUCUUAGCAAACAUUUCAAUCAAGGAACGAGUGCACGAUCAAGUGAUGUUAACAAGGCGACUGCAUGAGGAAACAAGAGUUUUGGUGUUGGAGAUGGCACAACACUGCACAUGGUUGCAGAGCCUGGCAAUGGUUCUCAAGAACAAGUUGGCUGAGGAGGGUAAGUUUAAUUAAAACCCUGUCCAUCUAAUGUGUUAAAAAAACACACAAAAAAAACACAUCAGUCACAGAACUUGAUGGAGUAGAACGCUUAUUGCUCUCUUUGCCGAGGUCCUUUAACACAUACAUAAAAUGGGGAUUAAAAUUGUUACUGUAGCUAUGGUUACAAGUCAGUAAGGCUAUAAAGAUUCACAUUUGCUUGAAGAUGUGCAGAUUUGUUGUACUAUGGCUGUUACUUGAAAGCAUAAAUGAACAAAAUAAUUUGAACAUUGAAAUUUGUGUCCUGAUGUGUUACACGUGGUUAGCAUAACAUCAAGAUUAAUUUUAUUAUUAUCAUCUCCUCCAGUCAACAUAGAAAACCUUGCUGGUCAGCAAGUAACAAAAUGUGUUAUUUCAGCACAACUCUAGUGAUAGCUGUUUUAAGUUAACAGGUUUCUAUAUAUAUAUAAUAUAUAUANAUAUAUAUAUAUAUAUAUAUAUAUAUAUAUAUAUAUAUGCUGCUUUGGGCUUUAAUUCGAAGAUUACAGUGAGAUUAAUCUAGAUUAAAAAAAUUAAUCUAUGCCCACCACUAAUACAUAUAUGCUGCUUUGGGCCUCCCUCCAUAAAGUCACCUCAGUGAGCCAUGUUGCCUUAAAUUGUUUUAUACAGAAGCUAGCCUGGUCCCAUGUCAGCGAUACACAUAAAAAUGGCAAUCAUCCUGCUAUGUAGAUUUGAAUAGGUGAUAUCUUUUUACUCCAUUUAAGUUCUUUGGCCUUAUGAAACAAUCUUAAUAUAGUUUGUCUUUAAUGUAAUCUCGUUUGUAUUUUGAGAUGUAGACCAGGGAAAUGAGUGACUUUGCUGUCUCUUAAGAAGUCUCUUAGGUCCUGAGGCCUCUGNUGUUAUUCUUAAUAAUUAAUUUGUGUAUUUUAUUAAUGCUUUACACACCUUACUUAUUCUAAAACAGCUGAAAUUCACCCUCUUAUCCUAAUUCUUGCUUUUUUGUUUUUCUGUAUUUCCCCAGAUGGAAGCUGCACGAAGGACUAUGUUGAAGGAAAUGGACUUGCCCUAUAUCUGUGUAUUAUUAGUAUGCUGAUUGAUUAACCACAUCAAAAUCUUGUUGAAAAUUCAAACUGUGUCUUUAGAUUUUCCAAGCAAUUUAGUAAGCACAUUGCACAGUUCAUUAAAAAUGCACAAACCUCUCAUUAUAGGUGCACCAAUCUUAGCCAAAAAUGUCAACUUUGCAUGUAUGAUAUUACCAGAUGUAAUUACUGUGCCCAUAUGAUAUUUGGGUAGUGUAUACUCUUCUAAAAGAGAGACUCCCCUUGAUUGUGGUGACCCUGUAACCUUUCCUUUUGCACCAACGUUAGGCCAAACUUUUGACUUGCACACAACAAAUGUUAUGAACCGAUUUCUGUAAUUUUCUGAGCAAUGAAUCAUGUCAUGUUGACCUUAUGACAUUCCCUGUAGCACAAUCAUUAGACCAGAAUGUAAAAUUGAAUAUUGUCUAAUUGGGCAGAUUGCCAUGAAAUCUUGUAAGCACAUGAUGACUUUGGUGACCUUAUGACAAUUCCUCUAUCAUCACAUUUAGGCCUUAAUGUAAAAACUCAUUCUUGAUUGCAUUUCUCAAUAUUCACUUAUUCUGUGGUGCAGUGUCAGUCUAUGACAUUUUGUUUUUCCCCAGAGGAGGCUGCCUAUGGAUCACUACUUGAUUGAGUGUAUUAUAUAACUGUUGUGUAACUUUAUAUUACUGCAAAGAUGCAUUAUAGUAUGUAACAGAAAAAUACAGUUUUUUAUUUUACGAUUAUACUUUAUAUUGUAUAUUAUUACAGUUGACAGAUGACUUAAUUCUUUGUUCUGCUGGAGCUUUUCAAGUGAACUUAACCUCACAGUCCAAUGUUUUUAAAUACAGCCUUAUGGCUUGUGUCAUCACAUUUAGGCCUUAAUGUAAAAACUCAUUCUUGAUUGCAUUUCUCAAUAUUCACUUAUUCUGUGGUGCAGUGUCAGUCUAUGACAUUUUGUUUUUCCCCAGAGGAGGCUGCCUAUGGAUCACUACUUGAUUGAGUGUAUUAUAUAACUGUUGUGUAACUUUAUAUUACUGCAAAGAUGCAUUAUAGUAUGUAACAGAAAAAUACAGUUUUUUAUUUUACGAUUAUACUUUAUAUUGUAUAUUAUUACAGUUGACAGAUGACUUAAUUCUUUGUUCUGCUGGAGCUUUUCAAGUGAACUUAACCUCACAGUCCAAUGUUUUUAAAUACAGCCUUAUGGCUUGUUUGACAAAUAUGUAUUUGGUGUAUUUUCACUGGUAUUGUUGUGAAAGACAAGAAAUAAAGUAUUUCCAAAGAUGAA
Molecule: long non-coding RNA, 3309 nt
Organism: Cyprinus carpio (common carp)
Lineage: Eukaryota; Metazoa; Chordata; Actinopteri; Cypriniformes; Cyprinidae
Source: Ensembl